UACGAAGGGGGCUAGCGUUGCUCGGAAUCACUGGGCGUAAAGCGCACGUAGGCGGCUUGUUAAGUCAGGGGUGAAAUCCUGGAGCUCAACUCCAGAACUGCCUUUGAUACUGGGAAGCUUGAGUUCGGGAGAGGUGAGUGGAACUGCGAGUGUAGAGGUGAAAUUCGUAGAUAUUCGCAAGAACACCAGUGGCGAAGGCGGCUCACUGGCCCGAUACUGACGCUGAGGUGCGAAAGCGUGGGGAGCAAACAGG
Molecule: ribosomal RNA, 253 nt
Filed under: uncultured bacterium
Lineage: Bacteria
Description: partial 16S ribosomal RNA
Rfam family: Bacterial small subunit ribosomal RNA
Source: RNAcentral